GGAGUUCUGCUGGAGCUACAUGCCUGAACACCAACCAAUAACCUUUUCAUGUGGCUGAGACCUUUCAUAUGGCCACAGUCCUCAGAGACAGCAUCCCAAGAGUGAUCCUUUUAAGAGGCUCAGGUAGAAAUUGCAAGGUGUUUUUACAGUCUUUUCAGAGGUUGGAGUGUCACUUCUGUCAUAUUCUGCUGGUUCAACAAGCCAGUAAAGCCAAGCCCAGAGUAAGGUGCAAGGCUAGUCUAGCCUGCUGGACAAUGAGAGGCCUACGGAACAGGGCGGAGUCACCAUAUCCCACUGAAACUGGCCUAGGUUAGCCAACAGCCCACCUCUCCCAGGCACGUGAAAGCUCAGCGGACUCUGAACAGAUGGACAAUAAACAUUUACUGUGUUUGCCA
Homo sapiens (human) is the source of this 395-nucleotide long non-coding RNA. RefSeq lists it as uncharacterized. The transcript is spliced from 2 exons. The record is from RefSeq and is a predicted model, not a curated record. Lineage: Eukaryota; Metazoa; Chordata; Mammalia; Primates; Hominidae.